RNAcentral lists this ribosomal RNA (542 nucleotides) under uncultured bacterium. Its description in RNAcentral is "bacterial SSU rRNA". It matches the Rfam family "Bacterial small subunit ribosomal RNA", at positions 777 to 1320 of the family's 1533-position model. The record is from RNAcentral.
AAUAGAUACCCGGUAGUCCACGCCGUAAACGAUGAGUGCUAAGUGUUGGGGGUUUCCGCCCCUCAGUGCUGCAGCUAACGCAUUAAGCACUCCGCCUGGGGAGUACGGUCGCAAGACUGAAACUCAAAGGAAUUGACGGGGGCCCGCACAAGCGGUGGAGCAUGUGGUUUAAUUCGAAGCAACGCGAAGAACCUUACCAGGUCUUGACAUCCCGGUGACCACUAUGGAGACAUAGUUUCCCCUUCGGGGGCAACGGUGACAGGUGGUGCAUGGUUGUCGUCAGCUCGUGUCGUGAGAUGUUGGGUUAAGUCCCGCAACGAGCGCAACCCUUAUUCUUAGUUGCCAUCAUUCAGUUGGGCACUCUAAGGAGACUGCCGGUGAUAAACCGGAGGAAGGUGGGGAUGACGUCAAAUCAUCAUGCCCCUUAUGACCUGGGCUACACACGUGCUACAAUGGACGGUACAAACGGUUGCCAACCCGCGAGGGGAGCUAAUCCGAUAAAACCGUUCUCAGUUCGGAUUGUAGGCUGCAACUCGCCUACA